RNAcentral lists this ribosomal RNA (967 nucleotides) under human gut metagenome. Its description in RNAcentral is "bacterial SSU rRNA". It matches the Rfam family "Bacterial small subunit ribosomal RNA", at positions 8 to 973 of the family's 1533-position model. The record is from RNAcentral.
AGAGUUUGAUCCUGGCUCAGGAUGAACGCUAGCGACAGGCUUAACACAUGCAAGUCGAGGGGCAUCAUGAGGUAGCAAUACCUUGAUGGCGACCGGCGCACGGGUGAGUAACGCGUAUGCAACCUGCCCGAUACCGGGGUAUAGCCCAUGGAAACGUGGAUUAACACCCCAUAGUACUUUUAUCCUGCAUGGGAUGUGAGUUAAAUGUUCAAGGUAUCGGAUGGGCAUGCGUCCUAUUAGUUAGUUGGCGGGGUAACAGCCCACCAAGACGAUGAUAGGUAGGGGUUCUGAGAGGAAGGUCCCCCACAUUGGAACUGAGACACGGUCCAAACUCCUACGGGAGGCAGCAGUGAGGAAUAUUGGUCAAUGGACGAGAGUCUGAACCAGCCAAGUCGCGUGAGGGAAGACUGCCCUAUGGGUUGUAAACCUCUUUUAUAAGGGAAGAAUAAGUUCUACGUGUAGAAUGAUGCCUGUACCUUAUGAAUAAGCAUCGGCUAACUCCGUGCCAGCAGCCGCGGUAAUACGGAGGAUGCGAGCGUUAUCCGGAUUUAUUGGGUUUAAAGGGUGCGUAGGCGGUUUAUUAAGUUAGUGGUUAAAUAUUUGAGCUAAACUCAAUUGUGCCAUUAAUACUGGUAAACUGGAGUACAGACGAGGUAGGCGGAAUAAGUUAAGUAGCGGUGAAAUGCAUAGAUAUAACUUAGAACUCCGAUAGCGAAGGCAGCUUACCAGACUGUAACUGACGCUGAUGCACGAGAGCGUGGGUAGCGAACAGGAUUAGAUACCCUGGUAGUCCACGCCGUAAACGAUGCUCACUGGUUCUGUGCGAUAUAUUGUACGGGAUUAAGCGAAAGUAUUAAGUGAGCCACCUGGGGAGUACGUCGGCAACGAUGAAACUCAAAGGAAUUGACGGGGGCCCGCACAAGCGGAGGAACAUGUGGUUUAAUUCGAUGAUACGCGAGGAACCUUA